AAAAGGGUUUCUCAGGCCUUAUUGUCCCAGUUCCCCCUGUAACCUGUGUUUAGUUCUUCCCCUGCCCCUGCAGGACUGCAGUUUAAGGAAUCCACCAGCUCCUUGGUCUCCUCACUAUGGCGGCUAGUCACCUGCUACCCCCACUCACUCUUACCAGGAAAAUGGUUGGGUACUACACGGAUGAGAACCAGAGAGCCUGGAUGGUUGCAGGCCUGGCAUUUACUCUCUAUGAACCAAUUGAUAACAUGCCUCUAAUGUCUAUCACUGUCACGUUGUGGAAUGUGGGCAGAUGCUGCAAUGAACCUUUUCCCUGCGUCUUCCCAAGUGUGAUCUGUCUCCCCGAUAUGUGGCAGACACAGUCUCUGUUUUCAUACACAGGGACAGACUCAAGAUCCUGGAUAAUAGUGGACCAUUACCAGAUUGGUGACAGAGAAUACCUUAUCCUGAAGCUGGAGCUUCAGGGAUGAUGAUCUCAAGUGUAGCAGUAUCUCCUGGUGAGCUCAGCCCUGAACUUCAGAUGCUCUGUUUCUGUGAGCAUGGCUGUCUGUGUCCUGAGCCUUCUGUCUUCCUGACUACAGCUUCCCCUUUAUUUUCUCCUUUUGCCUGUGAUGGUGACCUCAUAGAUUAUCCUUAUAAGACACGUAUUCACUGUGAACCCCUCUCCUGGGCUCCCAGUGCAGCCUGCCCCUCAGGUUCUCUGAUCUGGAGGUGCCUGUGGAGCGGGUAUGGAUGGGGAAUGCAUGUCCUGUGGAUCUCUGAGAUACCAUGCUGGCUAGAAGUUGCCCUGGAGCUGGGCAGAGGACUCUGUGCUCAGUGGCUUGAAGACACAAUGGGAUGUGUGCAGGAGCAUCUGGUGUACUUCUCCCACAAGCUCAGUACUUGGCUCCUAGAAGUGAUUCGGACACUAGCCCC
RNAcentral lists this long non-coding RNA (912 nucleotides) under Cricetulus griseus (Chinese hamster). RNAcentral describes it as "lncRNA (ENSCGRG00015032925.1)". Lineage: Eukaryota; Metazoa; Chordata; Mammalia; Rodentia; Cricetidae. The record is from RNAcentral.